This 166-nucleotide non-coding RNA is filed under the name uncultured Parabacteroides sp. The record is from RNAcentral. Lineage: Bacteria; Pseudomonadati; Bacteroidota; Bacteroidia; Bacteroidales; Tannerellaceae.
AACGGUGCGAUUCCGUGGCCGUUAGUAAAAGGGAAUCCGGUGCAAAUCCGGAGCUGUACCCGUAGCUGUAUGUUCAAAUAACCCCCAGGAUUCUUUUACCACUGGAGCGACAAGCUCCGGGAAGGUGCCUGAAAAGGGAGAACAAGCCAGAAAACCUGCCCUGAUG